GAGGUGUGUGUGUGUCCUGUCCAAUCCAAAUCGGAAGUAACCCGUCGUCGUCGUCGUCGUCGUCAAUUUGGAGAACCCGCGGACGCGGCAUGGGUGUGCAGCAACUGGGAGGCGCCGGCGGCGGGCGCGGGGGCGGCCGGCGGAGCCGCCGAGGUCGCCGUGAGGCACCACCGCGCCUUGCCCACCGGUGCGCCGACGAAGGACUCCGGGCUCCUCUCCGCGUGGAUGCAAUCAAGGGAAGCCACAGUACAGUCUCCUGUAUGGCGCAGGUGCGAGCAUGGAAUACACCCAUUUGGUGACCCUAAAGCAUCUGAGCAUGAAACACUACAGCAAACCUUGACAGCACUGCUGAAUUGCUGCUAAGAAGUGGUAAAGUCUUGCUGAAGCUCUUAUGAUUCUUUUCCUGAGGCAUACAUCCCACAUUGUGAUGAAAUAUCCUGAGAUAUGGAGUGCAUUAGUAGAUAUAGAAGCCAUGGGUAUACAUCAAAUUUGUCAUAUACUAACUGGUGCAAUUUCUAUCGAAGUGAAGGUUCUCUUGAUUUGUGCAUUAAGCGAUCCACUUUUAUGACUACUAUAAAGGUCACAUGGAGGCUUGAGAUGGACCUGCUUUGCUCUUAUUUAGCUGGGCAGAGAAAUAUUAUCAUUCUGGGUGAAGACGUUCUCUGCGAAGAGUCUAGCAAACUUUGUGUUCAUCCAAUAGGACCAAUACAGACCUGGAGGCGAAUAUCGUGCAAAUAAUCCUGAGAUGUCAAAGCUGCCGCGCAAAGCAGUUCAUGAAAAAAAAAAAGGUGAUAAUGCAUACACCAUGUACCAGCAUCUGCAAACCGUCCUGUCAAUGUGGAAUUCCCCUUCCCUUGGAGCUAUUUCCAGAUAAACAAAUGAAGCUAUUGCAAUUGCAAUGAAUAGAACAGGAGGGAUACUCAGGGGAAGGUGGUGAGGUGCGUCAGAUAACUUUCUGUUAGAUGAAGAUAGCUAUUUAAUUGCUUCUGGACUUCUUAUUUUGCGGACCCAAUCCGCUGAAGUCCCCUUGCAGAUGUUGUUGAUGAGUAUUCUCCAAUACUUGCUCAUCUCAAAAGUCUGCAGAAUGGAGACGCUGCCACAAGUUCCAUUAAGCAGAUUAUGAUGGUGGCACUGGAGCUAGGCCAAUUAGUUUGAUUAAGCAUUCUGCCGGUCCUUGGGAACUUGGUCUUUCAGAAGCACACCAGGUUAGCCUCAUCUAUUUGUUUGUUAUUACCCUAUUGAAAUAUCUUGUUUGUUCUAAUGCUAGUUAACUUUUCUCCUGACACUUAUGCAAAAUUGAUUGUGAGAGAGGAUGGUAGGGUGGAUGGUGGAUUCAGAAGUUGCCAAUAUGUCCUUAUGGCUAGUGUCAUGGGCGUGGAUGAAUAUGGUUUUGGUUCUGUGGCUAUGAAUAGCUACUGGAUGUGUUCAAGAUGUCCACACUAAUGGCCCUGUUCUUGAUGAGACAAUCCUUGCAAAUCCUGAUAUAUCUGAUGUAAUUGAGAAUGAGGAGGUUUCCAAGAUAUUAUAAUGUUGAGAGGGCUGUCUGUGGUCAAGUAGCAGGUGUCAUUGCGAAGAAGUUUACUGGAAGUGCAGGGCCAGUCUUUUGGAUGUUUUCUAACUCCUGGAAUACUCUGCAAGUUGAGAGAGGCCAAUGAUUAUGUUGGAAAGAAUUUGCAGGGCAUGGGUGGUGGAGAGAUGGUUGUAGCUCCUGUAGAGUGUACUAGAUAGCACAGGAUUCGUUCCUGACUUCCUGACGAAGCUACUAUAGCUGGAAACGCUUGUCUGUGUUGGCUACUAGUGAGCAGGUAUUUGUGACAGGCAAAACAGGUGAAACUCUCUUGGUCAAUCAGUGGUUGAGGUCAGGGCACUGGAGAUCAUUGCUGCGAGUACAUGAUCGGUGGCUGUGUAGUUGGCAAAUCCUCCCUGUUUCACAAUCCGGCAGAGCCCGGGCAGCUGCUCAGGGUCGCCGGGCCUUGGCUCCGACGCUGGUCCUGACAUAUGCAUAUUCCUCAAUUGGUAGAGUAAGGAGGAACGUUGCAGCUGGAAUGACGGGUGGCCUUGCCUAUGUUCAACUGCAAUCAGCAAGUGAUCAUCAGAUUAGGUGACAGGAAGGUGUUCGUUCUUUGACACUUUCCUGGGACAGCAUCAUGGAAAAAGAAAUAACCCAGGAUACUUGUGACGCAACGAAGUGCCCCGAAUACUGCGAAUUUUGUGGAACCUCAUAAAGGCAGCGAAAGCUGAAAACACUUCUAAACUUCUCGAAUCCUCUACAGGAUUCGUGCCAUUUGUAAUCAUAUUUUGGUUCUGGGCAAUUUAAGUUUUGAGCUGUUUUACCGGUACUAAUGGGUAUUAGUAAUAGGUACCAAGGUAGGAGUACCAAUCAUGUCUAUACGUCAGUCCAUUCAUGAUGAAGGGUAGUAUGAUCAGAAUGUGUAAAUGUCGGUCCGUACUCGCUACACGCCUACACCAUCUUCCGAGACAUUCAUCUCUGGGCAGCUACAAAUAAUCUCCAUCGUGGUUGUUAUACGCGACCAUGCGCCGGCGCCACGCCGUGGCUCCCGUGCUCCUGUGCUGCCUUGCCACGAGAUCCUGUACCGCUCGCCAUGGAGCUGUUCGGGAGCUUUCCUCUGACCCGCGGGGCGCUGCUGUUAUGCAGACCAUGACGGAUCGCACUUGGUUCUUGGUGAGGUAUAUAGGCACAAGCUGUGGAAGCGAGACUAUGUGGGAUGUGGCUGCAGUGGAGGCGAUGGCGAGACAAUGUCGGCGUUGGACUUCGCCACCGGCAUCAACGAAAAUAGAGUGUCGUCAGCUGCUGUCAACGGCGGCAGUACUACACUAUUACUGCACUGUGUUGCUAGUUUAAAUAACUGGUUUAUCUGUUUUAAUUCUAUCUUUGAGAAAACGCUACAUGCUCUCAUGAAUAAGCAGAGAAUCGGCUAAAUAGCCGAUUGCUUGGUGGCGGUGCAACUA
This is a non-coding RNA of Oryza sativa Japonica Group (Japanese rice), 2970 nucleotides long. The record is from RefSeq and is a predicted model, not a curated record. Lineage: Eukaryota; Viridiplantae; Streptophyta; Magnoliopsida; Poales; Poaceae.